UCUGGUUUGCCUCUGCAGACAAUAACGAUAGGCUAAGACGUCGUCCAAAGGACGCACCAACGAUUUUGCUCGAUCCCUCCCGUUUUCCCUUUGUUACAGUUCAUUCCUUGUCAAGAAGAAAAUGGAGUAACAGUCAGUAACUUAAAGUACCUGACAGGUACCACAUCAAGUUGGUAUUAAAAGGUAUAGAAGCAACAACCACAAGAAGAGAGGAAACACUACUAUUUCUCUAUGUGUCAUAAAAAGAAGGCUGACUAAUUAGAAAAAAUGGAAGGAUAAAUAAAAAUCGAAAACUUUA
Molecule: long non-coding RNA, 298 nt
Organism: Saccostrea cuccullata (small rock oyster)
Lineage: Eukaryota; Metazoa; Mollusca; Bivalvia; Ostreida; Ostreidae
Exons: 2
Source: RefSeq, a predicted model, not a curated record